AAACAGGUAAGCUAAAAAAGCUACUGGGUUCAUACCCCAUCUAUAAAGGUCCAACCCCUUUCCUAUUUA
RNAcentral lists this transfer RNA (69 nucleotides) under Neolucanus maximus. RNAcentral describes it as "tRNA-Met". It matches the Rfam family "tRNA". Rfam says of the family: Transfer RNA (tRNA) molecules are approximately 80 nucleotides in length. Their secondary structure includes four short double-helical elements and three loops (D, anti-codon, and T loops). Lineage: Eukaryota; Metazoa; Arthropoda; Insecta; Coleoptera; Lucanidae. The record is from RNAcentral.